GCAGAGCCGUGGCCCUCUUCUUUGUUCUCUGCUGGAUCCAAGAGAUGGGGUUUCAUCAUGUUGGCCAGGCUGGUCAUGAACUCCUGACCUCAAUGGAUCCUCCUGCCUCAGCUUCCUGAGUAGCUGGGAUCACAGGUGCACACCACCACACCCAGAUGAAAUUCUGCUGCAAGUGUUUUCCAAGGUUCCGUAUGACCCAUCAUUUGAUGAAACAAGAACAGCAGUCAGAUCCAUUACAAAGAGAGACACACAAAAAAGCUAUUCCCAACAAAAGAGCUUGAACAGUGCUGCAUUUGCAUCAGGUUCAAAUGAGCGAGAGGAACAUUUGGCUAAAAUAUUUGAUGAAAUUCUACUGCAGGUGUUUCCAAAGGUUCCGUAUCAUCCAUCAUUUAACGAAACAACAGCAGUCAGAUCCAUUACAAAGACAGACAUGAGAAAAGGAACCAGUGUUGUUUGGAAAUCUCCUAAACCAGAAUAUUUCCUUGGCAGUGUGGACAAAAUUCCCGAUAAAGAUCACCUUUCAGAGGAGAAGAGUUUUAAAGAAUCCUCUCUGUUCGACAGGGUUUUAAGAGAGCAGUUAACUACUGUAGAUAAAGAAACACUUCAAGGGGCAGCUAAACCAG
Molecule: small RNA, 623 nt
Filed under: Pongo abelii (Sumatran orangutan)
Lineage: Eukaryota; Metazoa; Chordata; Mammalia; Primates; Hominidae
Description: processed transcript
Source: RNAcentral